RNAcentral lists this ribosomal RNA (450 nucleotides) under uncultured Glomus. RNAcentral's name for it is "SSU rRNA". It matches the Rfam family "Eukaryotic small subunit ribosomal RNA", at positions 569 to 1023 of the family's 1831-position model. Lineage: Eukaryota; Fungi; Glomeromycota; Glomeromycetes; Glomerales; Glomeraceae. The record is from RNAcentral.
AGCAGCCGCGGUAAUUCCAGCUCCAAUAGCGUAUAUUAAAGUUGUUGCAGUUAAAAAGCUCGUAGUUGAACUUCGGGAUCAAUGGAUCGGUCAUGCCGUUGGUAUGUACUGGUCCUAUUGGUUCUCACCUUCUAAGGAACCUUAAUGUCAUUAAUUUGAUGUUUUGGGGAAUUAGGACUGUUACCUUGAAAAGAUUAGAGUGUUUAAAGCAGGCUCACGCUUGAAUACAUUAGCAUGGAAUAACGAAAUAGGACGUUUGAUUCUAUUUUGUUGGUUUCUAGGAUCGACGUAAUGAUUAAUAGGGAUAGUUGGGGGCAUUAGUAUUCAAUUGUCAGAGGUGAAAUUCUUGGAUUUAUUGAAGACUAACUACUGCGAAAGCAUUUGCCAAGGAUGUUUUCAUUAAUCAAGAACGAAAGUUAGGGGAUCGAAGACGAUCAGAUACCGUCGUAG